Molecule: ribosomal RNA, 468 nt
Filed under: uncultured bacterium
Lineage: Bacteria
Description: partial 16S ribosomal RNA
Rfam family: Bacterial small subunit ribosomal RNA
Source: RNAcentral
GACGACCGCUGGCGGCGUGCUUAACACAUGCAAGUCGAACGGAAAGGCCCUGCUUUUGUGGGGUGCUCGAGUGGCGAACGGGUGAGUAACACGUGAGUAACCUGCCCUUGACUUUGGGAUAACUUCAGGAAACUGGGGCUAAUACCGGAUAGGAGCUCCUGCUGCAUGGUGGGGGUUGGAGAGUUUCGGCGGUUGGGGAUGGACUCGCGGCUUAUCAGCUUGUUGGUGGGGUAGUGGCUUACCAAGGCUUUGACGGGUAGCCGGCCUGAGAGGGUGACCGGCCACAUUGGGACUGAGAUACGGCCCAGACUCCUACGGGAGGCAGCAGUGGGGAAUAUUGCACAAUGGGCGGAAGCCUGAUGCAGCAACGCCGCGUGCGGGAUGACGGCCUUCGGGUUGUAAACCGCUUUCGCCUGUGACGAAGCGUGAGUGACGGUAAUGGGUAAAGAAGCACCGGCUAACUACGUG